Molecule: long non-coding RNA, 1221 nt
Filed under: Fragaria vesca (wild strawberry)
Lineage: Eukaryota; Viridiplantae; Streptophyta; Magnoliopsida; Rosales; Rosaceae
Description: long non-coding RNA (FVES_LNC005471)
Source: RNAcentral
AGUUUGAGGGCCUUAACGAUUACCAAAUUGGCUGAAAUUUUGCAGAGAUGAUUUACACAAUAUUAUCUAGAUACUCGACGGUGGAGAUGAGGAAAUUAGAUCAAAAAGUGGUGCAAAAAUGAAAAUCCGCACCAAAACCAUUGGUGCGGAUGUUUGUAACCAAGAAGCCCUGUAUAUAUAUAUACACACACACACACACAGACUUUCUCAGGUGCGGAUGUCCGCAUUUAUUCUUACGGUGCGGAUUUCCACUUUACACUCACUUUUCAAUCGAAUUUUCAUAUUUCCACCAUGUAGUCUUUAGAUACUAAUGUAUAGAUCAUCUCUACAAAUUUUCAGUCAAUUUAGUUAUCAUUAAGGCACUCAAACUCGAUUAAACCAAUGGAUGAACAUAAUUCUGUUGAUCUUGAACCGUUCAUGUUUAUAACAGAAAAACGCAGUUUUGAGUGCCUCAAUGAUAACCAAAUUAGCUGAAAUUUUGCAGAGAUGAUCUAUACAUUAGUAUCUAAAUACUAUAUAUAUAUAUACAAUGCUGAUCAGGAUAUCGUUAAGGCCCUCAAAAUCGAAAAACAAAUCGACGGCCUGUAUUUUGUCCAGUUCAGGUAUAUAACAGAAAAACACAAGUUUGAGGGCCUUAACGAUCACCAAAUUGGCUGAAAUUUUGCAGAGAUGAUCUACACAAGAUGAUCUAGAUAUGUCUAGAAGGAAGUUUGAGGAAAUUCGAUCGGGAAGUGGUGCAAAAAAUGGAAAUCCGCACCAAAAAUUUUGGUGCGGACGUCCGCACCUGAUCAGCUGUGUGUAUAUAUAUAUACACAGGGCCCUUCCAAUGAGGGAUCCCUUUUUUGUUCAUUUAUAGGGAUAGGGUAUUUGACAAACUUCCCGAUCAUUAAAUCACAUCUCUACCGUUCAGUUUGUAGGUGUAUAUGAAUAGAUCACUUCUGCAAAUUUUCAAAAAAUUUGGUGAUCGUUAAGUCAUCAAAUGUUUGAUUUAUUUUUAAUGAUUUUAAACGGUGUAGGUUUGACAUAAGUGUUAAGUUUUUUGUUUUAAUCUCAGUCAUCCAAGCCUAUUAAAAAACAAAUCUAAUGGUGUGGGUUUAUCCCUAAAAGUGACAAAAAAUAGAGAUCCCUCAUUGGAAGGGCCCUGAUAUACCUGUAGUAUAUAUAUAUACAUAUACUAUAUAUAUACUAUGUAUACUAUCUAUAUACUAUAUAUAUAUAUAC